GUGAGGAAUAUUGGUCAAUGGGCGGGAGCCUGAACCAGCCAAGUCGCGUGAAGGAAGAAGGAUCUAUGGUUCGUAAACUUCUUUUGCAGGGGAAUAAAGUGCAGGACGUGUCCUGUUUUGUAUGUACCCUGAGAAUAAGGAUCGGCUAACUCCGUGCCAGCAGCCGCGGUAAUACGGAGGAUCCGAGCGUUAUCCGGAGUUAUUGGGUUUAAAGGGUGCGUAGGUGGAUUGAUAAGUCAGCGGUGAAAGUUUGCAGCUUAACUGUAAAAAUGCCGUUGAAACUGUCGGACUUGAGUGUAAAUGAGGUAGGCGGAAUGCGUGGUGUAGCGGUGAAAUGCAUAGAUAUCACGCAGAACUCCGAUUGCGAAGGCAGCUUACUAAGCUACAACUGACACUGAAGCACGAAAGCGUGGUGAUCAAACAGGAUUAGAAACCCUUGUAGUCC
Molecule: ribosomal RNA, 445 nt
Filed under: uncultured bacterium
Lineage: Bacteria
Description: partial 16S ribosomal RNA
Rfam family: Bacterial small subunit ribosomal RNA
Source: RNAcentral